GUUUGUACAGAAGUCUGAUAGGAAAUAAUGAUAUGACAGAGCUCAGUGUUUGAAUGAAACCUGGCAACCCUUCCCACGUGCCCUUCACUCACCUGUCCUUUAAAGAUCUACAUAAGAGUGAAAGGUUUGCGUUAGUGUGACUUUGUUGUUGUUGUUGUUUUGUCCUGCAGGAUUAACAGCAAAUAGAAUAAAAUAAAAAAACCCUGAAUGUAUUCGUUUAGGACACAUUCUCGGUUCAAUCCAAACAACGUAUUCGUAUUCAGUUACGUCCCUUCUACAUACCUGAAAUUCAGUUGAGCUAUUUUAAUAAAUGAUGAAUUAUAUUAAUAGAACAGUAAAUUGUAAUCCAGAGGCUCUGUAACUUGAUGAAUGAAUGUGAGCAACUGUAAAGAAGCACAUUUAACGUGAAGACGCUUUUAAAAGGAACGAGAUAAAACGGUACGUCUUAUUGUACAUACAAAUGAACAUUUGGAACUCUUUUCUUUUUUUCCUUAAAAACUCGCGCUCUUUUCUACUGACGCAGAAGGAACGAAGUAGAGGUUUGAUACAGAAUGUGUAUAUGAGGUUGUGAUGUUAUGUGUGUUUUCUCUUUUUUCAGCCGUUCUCUGCUGUGAAGUGGCUCAUCAGUGAAAUGAUCCUGUAAGAAAAGCUAGUUUUGUGUAAAUUCGGCAGUUUUAUAUUUAGUGCUGGGUGAUUUUACUCCUGAGCGUGUGUGUGUGUGUGUGUGUGUGUGUGUGUGUGUGUGUUACAGAUUCCUGCUAGAGUUUAACUUCUACAGCUGGUGGAGUUUUGACUCGACUGUGAAAGCUGACAGAGUGAACAGGAGGGCGAUGCUGGUGCCGUGUGAUAUGGAGUAUCCGGUGUUUGUCUCAGAGCGCACGAUCAAAGAGACGGCCGGCAGCAUCGACUGUGACGGCUGUAUCAGGAGUGGGUCCAGGAGGACGGGCGCGAGGACGUAAAUAAAGAGGACGGGCGCGAGGACGUAAAUAAAGAGGACGGGCGCGAGGACGUAAUAAAGAGGACGGGCGCGAG
Ictalurus punctatus (channel catfish) is the source of this 1032-nucleotide long non-coding RNA. Lineage: Eukaryota; Metazoa; Chordata; Actinopteri; Siluriformes; Ictaluridae. The record is from Ensembl.